RNAcentral lists this ribosomal RNA (581 nucleotides) under uncultured bacterium. RNAcentral describes it as "bacterial SSU rRNA". The stretch from base 1 to 511 matches the Rfam family "Bacterial small subunit ribosomal RNA", at positions 338 to 873 of the family's 1533-position model. The record is from RNAcentral.
CCUACGGGAGGCAGCAGUGGGGAAUAUUGGACAAUGGGGGCAACCCUGAUCCAGCCAUGCCGCGUGAGUGAUGACGGCCUUAGGGUUGUAAAGCUCUUUUCUCCGGGACGAUAAUGACGGUACCGGAGGAAUAAGCCCCGGCUAACUUCGUGCCAGCAGCCGCGGUAAUACGAAGGGGGCUAGCGUUGCUCGGAAUCACUGGGCGUAAAGGGCGCGUAGGCGGCUGACUUAGUCGAGGGUGAAAGCCCGUGGCUCAACCACGGAAUGGCCUUCGAUACUGGUUGGCUUGAGACCGGAAGAGGACAGCGGAACUGCGAGUGUAGAGGUGAAAUUCGUAGAUAUUCGCAAGAACACCAGUGGCGAAGGCGGCUGUCUGGUCCGGUUCUGACGCUGAGGCGCGAAAGCGUGGGGAGCAAACAGGAUUAGAUACCCUGGUAGUCCACGCUGUAAACGAUGAAUGCUAGCCGUUGGUCUGNNUNNGUNAGUGCGCGCACGCAUANANUCGUCCGUCGGAGGUACGGUCGCGAGAUAAACUACAAGAAGUAGAGCGNGAGAGNGCGACGACGACGACGAGGGAGAGG